Malania oleifera is the source of this 2931-nucleotide long non-coding RNA. RefSeq lists it as uncharacterized. The transcript has 2 exons. The record is from RefSeq and is a predicted model, not a curated record. Lineage: Eukaryota; Viridiplantae; Streptophyta; Magnoliopsida; Santalales; Ximeniaceae.
AUUAAAAAUAAUUAGUUAGGAGUGAGUGGGCAAUACUGAAUCUUGAGAGUCUUUCCAGUUCUUUAAUGAGGGCGCAACUUGAAUUGGCAUUGCCAUCCUCCCUGUGUUUCUGCAUAAUGUUGUGCGCACGGAUCGGAUCGUACCCGAAAUAUCCCCAUGUUUACUUAGCCUUGAGAGGCAAGUCAAAGCCGACAUGACGGUUAGAAAAUCAAGAUAUUAAGUAUGUAAUACCGCUGGCUUCAGUCCGUUGCUCACGCUUGAGUGCCCAGCACUUUUCCACCAAGCCAUGGCCGUGGGGGCUGGUUGCAUUCUUCCUUGCCUGCAGGUUGCGAUGACAACACGAUUCCUGUUCCAUGUGCCCAUCUACUAUCCAUUAGGUUUCUGUUUUUGUGUGUGUAUUCUCAUCUCCUCUUCCAGUUCCAAACAUGAUCUUAGUAUUUGACAUUCAUCCAAAUUGAAAGGAAAAUCUGAAAGUAGAUCCUUCAAAAUUAACUCUUUUUCAAAAGAAAAAGAAAAACCUAAGAUCGUGUGUGUAACUGGAAGAGGAGACAAGAGAAUAAUGGAUCGUAAAUCGGCACAUGGGACAGGAAUCGUGCUGUCGCCGCAGCCAGGAAGAAUGCAACCAUAAUGAAAGAGAUGAGAACAGGAUCUGAAUCAGAUUAUUAGUAGAGGACCGCGGUGUCAAUUGCCCUUUGCACCUCCGAGAAAAGUGAUCCCAUAUCUUUUUUGAAUAGCUUGAAUUUCCCAUCAAGCAUUCACAAUGUUGGAACAUUUUGCAUUAGGAAUCCUGCUUAUUCACAAAAUUUGAUGGGUGAUCUGAAACUUAGCAUUUGCAACAUUUCACCUGCAAUAUCUUGCUUCAUUUUCAGCUAAUUGGUAACUACUGGCAACACUGUGUAACAUGAUAGGAAUCUGUUUUCAUUUCAAAAUGCGACCUCUAAAGUUAUAUCUUUUUAAUAUACUGGUACUUGCAAUGCCCUGAUCAUGUUUGCUGGACAAUAUCGUGGUGUCAUUUUUUUAUGAGCUUCUAUUGAUUGUGCUGGAUUGGGAGUGUAAUUAUAAAUGCUUGAAUGUGUUCACAAAUUUAAUACCACCCACAGAUUUAUCCUCUCUUUUUUUUCAUUCUCAAGUUAUGCAUUUUGUACCACAUCUUAGUGCUUUUCAGAAACUAUUGACGAAAAUUCCGGGAUCAAAUAUGAGCAUGCGUAAAAAAAUGUGGGCAUUAACUGUAUUUCAAUUAUUUAUCUCUAAUAAUCAUUUGAGAUUCAAGCAGUUUGAGAACAUAUCUGGGAUUUGUUAGCAUGUAGCUAAACUUUGUGGUUACAUAAAUCUUGCCGGCAUAUAUCAAAUUUCCUUUCUUAGUUUUAAUAGGCAUUUUGUGAAUGGAUACUAUAAUUGGGCUUUGACUCAUGAUUUUGUUCCAUGUUUAGGUGAUUCCUCUUGUUGACUGAUUCAAAAACAUGAUUUAAAUUUGUAAAUUUGAAUUUGACUCAUCAUAUUGUAACGUGUCUUGAUGUUCCCUAUUGCUGACUGAUUCACACUCAUGAUUUAACCUGGAGAAGUUCUUCCUCUUCAUAUCGGUCGUUAAAAAGCCAUGAUUGGGUCCUCUUGUGUGCUUUAAGUUACAUAGAAUGAUUUCUGGUCUUUGUGUGUUGGGGGGGAGGGGGUUAUCUUUGUCUUUGCUACUUGUUGGGUGAUUUCUGUGGGUUUAUCUUUGUGCUUUAUGUUCAAUAAAAACGAUAUAAUAUACUUGUGAAUUUCAACUGCUCAAAUUUAAUUUAUUUUUUGGUUUCAUUCCACGUCCUUUGUGUCUUUGUGUGUAUUUUUACAAUAUUUAGGAUUUUAGGGUUUGUACACAAUUAUUUCUUUCUUGUUUAAAAUUUAUGUUGGAUUUUGUUUGUAUGUGUCUUUAAUACAAGUUUCUUUUGAGUUCUGUAUCAUUAUGCUGUACAGCUCUAUAAAUUCAUAUAUUUUAAUAUUUCAUGCUUGUAGUGCGCUUUUGAAUAUCCUAUUCUCAUUCAGUUUUGGGAGGGUAUAUGGGUGGAUGAGGUUUCAUUAGAGUUGUUAUUUCCUCGUCUGUUCGGGCUGUCUUCCAUUCAUAAUGCCUCGAUUAAUGAAUUUUAUUCUUUGGAGAGGGACUCUUUUUCUUGGGGAAUUAUCUUUUUGUGUAGAGAAUGUUGCUCUUUUGCACAUCAAGUGAGGAAUGACUCUAGGAUUUGGACUAGGGAUGCUAGUGGUUCUUUUACUACAUAAUCUUUCUUCUCUCGUUUGUUGAAGACCUCGAGCUCUAUAUCUUUCUCCUUGAAUAAUUUUAUUUGAUGAAAGGCAAAGGCUCCUUUUCAGAUCAUGGCUUUCUUGUGGGCUUUGGAUCUGCUUUGUACUAAUGAUUUAUUGUUGGUAAGAAGGUUCUAUUAAGCUAUUAGCUCGCUUAUUUGCAUUAUGUUUUCAGAGUUGGGUGAAACUAAUGAGCAUCUGUUUCUCCAUUGUUGAGUGGCUAUGCAGCUUUGGGCCAAUCUGUUCUUAGCUUUUGAUGAUGCAAUGGUGCUGCCACAAAUUGUUGAUGUUUUUUUCUUUGUGCAGUGGCAGGGUUUUGGGAGUAAGAGAGGGAUGGUUUUGUGGAAAUGUACUAUUUUUACUCUUUUUUGGACUUUGUGGAUUGAAAGGGGUGCGAUGGAUUUUUAAUUGAAAAAUAAUUCCUUCCCAUUAAUUAUGAGAUAGAGUUGUUUUCCUUGCUUCCUUUUUGGUACUCUGGGUUCUUUUGGGGAGUUUUGUUGUUUGAUCUCAAGGGGGAUUGGGGGCUUUAUUGUAAAUGUUUUCUAGUUGUGUUUAAAAGGAUGUCUUAUCCUUUGUUCUUUUAAUGCUCUCACUUUUCUUUUAAUGGGUUUCUUUUUCUAUGAAAGAAGAAAAGGAAAGAAAAUUUGCCUCAUCUCA